Molecule: ribosomal RNA, 497 nt
Filed under: uncultured bacterium
Lineage: Bacteria
Description: partial 16S ribosomal RNA
Rfam family: Bacterial small subunit ribosomal RNA
Source: RNAcentral
GACGAACGCUGGCGGCGUGCCUAAUACAUGCAAGUUGAGCGCUGAAGGUUGGUACUUGCACCCACUGGAUGAGCAGCGAACGGGUGAGUAACGCGUGGGGAAUCUGCCUUUGAGCGGGGGACAACAUUUGGAAACGAAUGCUAAUACCGCAUAAAAACUUUAAACACAAGUUUUAAGUUUGAAAGAUGCAAUUGCAUCACUCAAAGAUGAUCCCGCGUUGUAUUAGCUAGUUGGUGAGGUAAAGGCUCACCAAGGCGAUGAUACAUAGCCGACCUGAGAGGGUGAUCGGCCACAGUGGGACUGAGACACGGCCCAAACUCCUACGGGAGGCAGCAGUAGGGAAUCUUCGGCAAUGGACGAAAGUCUGACCGAGCAACGCCGCGUGAGUGAAGAAGGGUUUCGGAUCGUAAAACUCUGUUGGUAGAGAAGAACGUUGGUGAGAGUGGAAAGCUCAUCAAGUGACGGUAACUACCCAGAAAGGGACGGCUAACUACGUG